CAGCACAUUUUGCAUAUUCAACCAUCAGACUGGAAGAACUCAAGGAGCUGACAGAGUCAUCAAGAUCAGUAGAAAUCUAACUGUUUCAAACCUUUCUAAGAUGAAGACCUUCAGCGUUGCAGUUGCAGUGGCCGUUGUGCUCACCUUCAUUUGCAUUCAAGAGAACUCUGCUGUCCCAGUUGUUGGAGUGCAGGCAAUGGAAGAGAUGAUCAGCCAUGACAGUCCAGUUGCUGUAAAGAAGGUGGUGUCUAACAGGCAGAAGCGGGGAAACUGUCACGAGUGCUGCAACAGGGGUGUAUGCUUUCAGUGCUGUUAUGUUUGAAGUUAAACUACUGGAAUUAUUGGAGAUACUACAGUGUAUUAUCACGAUAAAUGUCAAUAUCACUAUAAUAUACUGCCUUACUGUUUUUUUAUUUUAAAAUGGGAGUAUAAAUUAUUGUUAUAUUGCUACUCUUAAUAUACCUCAAUCCUCUCAAAUAUGCAACAGAGAUUCAAUCCAUAAGCACUUCAUGAAAGCAUUCACAGAUGUGUUGUGUGCAGUAAAUGAUUCAUUUCAUGUUUCCUGAAGUAGCAUAAAAGCUGCAUAGCAUUUAUAUUAGUUGAAAUGAUCAGCUUAAGUUGAUUAUUAUUUACAAAAGCCUACAGUCUAAUUAUGUUUAAAGAGUUAACACUUUAAGGGAGCAAAAUCAUCAAAGUAUAUCUAUAUGUUUGUGCCUGAGAUGAUGAAAUGUGUUAUGAAUUAUGAUUGUUCAUACAAAAAGAAAAUCAGAGUUUACAUCUACAAAAUAAGCUUUUUAGCACAAAGCAUCAAAUCAUGUAUGCUAACCUUUGUUUUCUUGACUAUACAGACACAAUAGUGUAUUUUUUAUUAUUAAAAGUAAAACUUUUGUUUAAGAGUUUAUGUUACCUAAAACCUGUUGAAAUAUUGCAAAAGCCUCAAGUUGGUUGCACAUGAUGUAAUGAAGGUAGCUGCUGUGGAUAACAGAGCAUUAUAAUAAUGUGCUGUUUGUGGCACUGCUUUAGAUAUAUUUAGAGUCUCGUUAUAGACAGGUAUCAGAACAAAGAAGAUAUAACUGAAAAGGACAAAAUACUGAACUAAUAGACUGUAAAUGGUCUAUUAGCUCACAAAAUGUCAUUGAACAGAGAUUUUUUUUAAAAACCCAAAACUAUUAAUUUAAACUAUGUAUCACUGUUUAUAAAAACCCUUCUUUUUUAAAUAUAUGCUGUAUAUUAAGUCCUUAUCUGUCAUUAUCUAGGUAAUAAGUGUCCCACUUUGCACACAAAAUAUUUUUGCAACACUUUAACAUAGAAUGAACUAUUUUAGAAAAUGAAAGUUAUGAUUAAUGUCAUUCUCUUUACAUGUAUGUCACAAUGUAUACAUUGUUCCACUGUAUAUGAAUUAGAUCUAGUGAAACAGUAAUGUAUGUCAGGACAUCCAUAAUGAAACUGCAGUAAAGUUAUAUAAGAAAUAAAAACAUUUACAAACUCAUUUGUCAUUUUAAUUUAGUAUUCAUGUGUGUUCUUUAUUAUAUAUAACUGUGAAGGAAAAUUAAUUACCUUAUUACUGUGUACAUGUUUUCUAAUAUACUGUGUAAUUUGAGACAGUCAGUACAAAGUAUGUUUGAAUGAACUGGUUAAGUAAAUAUGUUGAACUCCGUUAGCAAGCUGAGACCCAGACAGUGAACGAGAUGAACUGUCUGUGCAAACGAACAUUGGACUGUGUAUGUGACCAGAUGCCGGGUCCUUAUGUCAUCAAUCUACUAUUAAAGCCGGGAGAUUUCUGCUCAUCGGGGUCCAGUCUUCUCAUGAGUCUUGAGACUGUGAGGGCUGCACCCUACUUCGGCCGAGUAGUCUGUCUGUGUUGCAUGAAAGCUGUUUUGGGUUGUAUGCAUAAUUUGAUUCUGAUAUUCACUAAUAAAUGCCUUAAAGUCUGAGAUUGCUCUCAGUGUUAUUAGUGAGUAAAUUAUUUGUCUCCUAUUUUCAUACAGAAUAAGCAUAUUAAAUCUGGCUCAACAAUAACAAAGAGUGAAGAUGCAGAUUAAGUAUAAGCAUGAUGUAUGAUAGUGCAGGAGAAAAGUUCAUGUUUAGUUUGAUGACACAAAAAGACCUGAGGCUGACAAACAACAAAUAGAGAAUUUCCCAUCCAUGGCAGAAACACAUGGGAAUGUUGGGAGUGUUGUAAUUUGUGAAAGUGCAAGUGAUGAGGCAACAGUAGCCCAGGGAGUAUUAAUACCAGCACAUUUUGCAUAUUCAACCAUCAGACUGGAAGAACUCAAGGAGCUGACAGAGUCAUCAAGAUCAGUAGAAAUCUAACUGUUUCAAACCUUUCUAAGAUGAAGACCUUCAGCGUUGCAGUUGCAGUGGCCGUUGUGCUCACCUUCAUUUGCAUUCAAGAGAACUCUGCUGUCCCAGUUGUUGGAGUGCAGGAAAUGGAAGAGAUGAUCAGCCAUGACAGUCCAGUUGCUGUAAAGAAGGUGGUGUCUAAUAGGCAGAAGCGGGCAUACUGUGGCCGUUGCUGCGACAACGGCGUCUGCAGAAAGUGCUGUUAUGCAUGAAGUUAAACUACUGGAAUUAUUGGAGAUACUACAGUGUAUUAUCACGAUAAAUGUCAAUAUCACUAUAA
Long non-coding RNA from Scomber scombrus (Atlantic mackerel), 2623 nucleotides. RefSeq lists it as uncharacterized. The transcript is spliced from 5 exons. NCBI's taxonomy places the organism in Eukaryota, Metazoa, Chordata, Actinopteri, Scombriformes, Scombridae. The record is from RefSeq and is a predicted model, not a curated record.